CAAAAAGGGGCUCUCUCAAUUUAGCCCUAAUUCACGCAAAAUCAGUCAAUUUCAAGGCAAAGAUCAAGAUUUAACUUAAACCAAGCUGAAAUAGUGAUCACUCAAGUUAGAGUAUCACAAGGCAAGUUGAUUGAAUCUUCAAGCGGACAAGUCGGAGCGGACGCGUGCUUGAAGGAAAAGCUUUGAAGGUGAAUGUUGUAAGCAUCCGGAUGAAAAUCAAGCAAUGAACAAGAACCGAACACAUGUCCAAAUAAAGCUUCCGCAUUGAUCUUAUUUUAUUUCCUUUAA
Long non-coding RNA from Helianthus annuus (common sunflower), 288 nucleotides. RefSeq lists it as uncharacterized. The record is from RefSeq and is a predicted model, not a curated record. The transcript is spliced from 3 exons. NCBI's taxonomy places the organism in Eukaryota, Viridiplantae, Streptophyta, Magnoliopsida, Asterales, Asteraceae.